CCGGAGGUGGUAGAGGAUAUGAUGUGGUAUCGUGUCGUGUAGGAAUUCAGACUCGUCGAUAGAAUGAGCACGGGUUUUGUGGAAAACGAGAUCUUUGGU
Molecule: transfer RNA, 99 nt
Filed under: Neurospora crassa
Lineage: Eukaryota; Fungi; Ascomycota; Sordariomycetes; Sordariales; Sordariaceae
Description: tRNA predict as a tRNA- Asp : anticodon gtc
Source: RNAcentral